RNAcentral lists this ribosomal RNA (762 nucleotides) under uncultured bacterium. RNAcentral's name for it is "bacterial SSU rRNA". It matches the Rfam family "Bacterial small subunit ribosomal RNA", at positions 66 to 839 of the family's 1533-position model. The record is from RNAcentral.
GGGAGAGCCACGCUUUUGGGUGUGGGGAGACCGGCGAACGGGUGAGUAUCACGUGAGGAACCUGCCCCUAAGAUCGGGAUAACCAUUGGAAACGAUGGCUAAUACCGGAUGUGCUUGAUGUCCCGCAUGGGGUAUUGAGGAAAUGGUCUUCCGCUUAGGGAUGGUCUCGCGGCCUAUCAGCUUGUUGGUGGGGUAAUGGCCUACCAAGGCUUCGACGGGUAGCUGGCGUGAGAGCGCGAUCAGCCACACUGGGACUGAGACACGGCCCAGACUCCUACGGGAGGCAGCAGUGGGGAAUCUUGCGCAAUGGGCGAAAGCCUGACGCAGCGACGCCGCGUGCGGGAAGAAGGCCUUCGGGUUGUAAACCGCUUUCAGGGGGGAAGAAGCGAAAGUGACGGUACCUCCAGAAGAAGGACCGGCCAACUACGUGCCAGCAGCCGCGGUAAUACGUAGGGUCCGAGCGUUGUCCGGAAUUAUUGGGCGUAAAGAGCUCGUAGGCGGUCCAUUAAGUCGACUGUGAAAUCUCACGGCUCAACCGUGAAACUGCAGUUGAUACUGGUGGACUUGAGGCAGGUAGAGGAAGGUGGAAUUCCUGGUGUAGCGGUGGAAUGCGCAGAUAUCAGGAGGAACACCAGUGGCGAAGGCGGCCUUCUGGGCCUUGCCUGACGCUGAGGAGCGAAAGCGUGGGGAGCGAACAGGCUUAGAUACCCUGGUAGUCCACGCCGUAAACGAUGGGUGCUAGGUGUAGGGGGUUAUCCACUC